This 407-nucleotide ribosomal RNA is filed under the name uncultured bacterium. RNAcentral describes it as "partial 16S ribosomal RNA". It matches the Rfam family "Bacterial small subunit ribosomal RNA", at positions 30 to 526 of the family's 1533-position model. The record is from RNAcentral.
AUUGAACGCUGGCGGCAGGCCUAACACAUGCAAGUCGAGCGGAGCGGCCGACGGGUGAGUAAUGCCUACGAAUCUGCCUGGCCGUGGGGGCUAACGUCCGUUAACGGGCGCUAAUCCCGCAUACUAUCAGAUGAGCCUAGGUCGGAUUAGCUCGUUGGUAGGGUAAAGGCCUACCAAGGCAACGAUCCGUAACUGGUCUGAGAGGAUGAUCAGUCACACUGGAACUGAGACACGGUCCAGACUCCUACGGGAGGCAGCAGUGGGGAAUAUUGGACAAUGGGCGAAAGCCUGAUCCAGCCAUGCCGCGUGUGUGAAGAAGGUCUUCGGAUUGUAAAGCACUUUAAGUUGGGAGGCGUUACCAACAGAGUAAGCACCGGCUAACUACGUGCCAGCAGCCGCGGUAAUUC